AUGAACGCUGGCGGCGUGCCUAGUACAUGCAAGUCGAGCGAACGGACGAGAAGCUUGCUUCUCUGAUGUUAGCGGCGGACGGGUGAGUAACACGUGGAUAACCUACCUAUAAGACUGGGAUAACUUCGGGAAACCGGAGCUAAUACCGGAUGAUAUUUUGAACCGCAUGGUUCAAAAGUGAAAGACGGUCUUGCUGUCACUUAUAGAUGGAUCCGCGCUGCAUUAGCUAGUUGGUAAGGUAACGGCUUACCAAGGCAACGAUGCAUAGCCGACCUGAGAGGGUGAUCGGCCACACUGGAACUGAGACACGGUCCAGACUCCUACGGGAGGCAGCAGUAGGGAAUCUUCCGCAAUGGGCGAAAGCCUGACGGAGCAACGCCGCGUGAGUGAUGAAGGUCUUCGGAUCGUAAAACUCUGUUAUUAGGGAAGAACAUAUGUGUAAGUAACUGUGCACAUCUUGACGGUACCUAAUCAGAAAGCCACGGCUAACUACGUG
This 496-nucleotide ribosomal RNA is filed under the name uncultured bacterium. Its description in RNAcentral is "partial 16S ribosomal RNA". It matches the Rfam family "Bacterial small subunit ribosomal RNA", at positions 29 to 507 of the family's 1533-position model. The record is from RNAcentral.